Dermacentor albipictus is the source of this 689-nucleotide long non-coding RNA. RefSeq lists it as uncharacterized. The record is from RefSeq and is a predicted model, not a curated record. Lineage: Eukaryota; Metazoa; Arthropoda; Arachnida; Ixodida; Ixodidae.
CUGCCUGGUCACGGCCGGACUGGACUACGUGCAUGGUGCGUGGUCCAGUCCGGCCGAGGCCUCGCUUUGCUCUUCGCCACACUGUGAAGACUGGGCCAGCUAACGUACUUUUCCGUUUCCUACAAGCUCAAGGGGACCACGUGGUCGAAAGAACGUAUAAAAGGAGAGCACUUGCUCUGCACCAACCUUUUCCUGCACCGGUCGGCCUGCCUGGUCACGGCCGGACUGGACUACGCGCAUGUUGCGUGCUCCGGUCCAGCCGCGGCCUGGCUUUGAACUUCACCACAUUGUGAAGACUGGGCCGGCUAACGCUGUUUUCCGUUUCCUACACGCACAAGCAUCUGAGCAACGGACAUACCCGUAUGCUCUCCCCCUGGGGUGCACAUGGACACGGCGAUCAUCGGGACCUUCUUUCAUCGGCGUCCACAUCCAAGCGAAGGCAGCUAGACCUCUCUCAAGCACCGAGAUUGCCGAAUGGGGGCACCUUGGUUCGCCGACUCUACGCCGCCUGAUGCUGCCUUCGAUGGUCUACAGUGGGCUUUGUCCAAGUGCUUCUGGCCUACGCUCUCAACUACCUACAAUGGACGAAACUUUAUUUGUGUUUAUCUUUUUAUUAUUUUUUAGGCCUGCGAAGCGAUAACUGCGAUUAAGUGUCGACUUCAUAUUUCUCCAGGGGGACGAAGAUUGCA